Molecule: ribosomal RNA, 320 nt
Filed under: uncultured bacterium
Lineage: Bacteria
Description: bacterial SSU rRNA
Rfam family: Bacterial small subunit ribosomal RNA
Source: RNAcentral
UGGUCUAAUACCUUAUAGUAUCCAUCUCGUAUGGAUUAAAGCUUUAUGCGCUUUGGAGGGGCCUGCGUUUGAUUAGCUAGUUGGUGAGGUAAAAGCUCACCAAGGCGACGAUCAAUAGCUGGUUUGAGAGGAUGACCAGCCACACUGGGACUGAGAUACGGCCCAGACUCCUACGGGAGGCAGCAGUAAGGAAUCUUCCACAAUGGGGCAACCCUGAUGGAGCAAUACCGCGUGCAGGAUGAAGCGUUUCGGCGUGUAAACUGCUUUUAUCACCGAAGAUUAUGACUGUAGGUGAAGAAUAAGGACCGGCUAACUACGUG